GUAGGGAAUAUUGGUCAAUGGACGAAAGUCUGAACCAGCCAUUCCGCGUGCAGGAAGAAGAUUCUAUGGAUUGUAAACUGCUUUUAGCAGAGAAGAAACGCCUUCAUUGAUGAGGGUUUGACGGUAUCUGCAGAAUAAGCACCGGCUAACUCCGUGCCAGCAGCCGCGGUAAUACGGGGGGUGCAAGCGUUAUCCGGAAUCACUGGGUUUAAAGGGUGCGUAGGCGGGAAAUUAAGUCAGUGGUGAAAGUCUGUUGCUUAACGAUAGAAUUGCCGUUGAUACUGAUUUUCUUGAAUUGGGUUGAGGUUAGCGGAAUGUGACAUGUAGCGGUGAAAUGCAUAGAUAUGUCAUGGAACACCAAUUGCGAAGGCAGCUAGCUGGGCCUUGAUUGACGCUGAGGCACGAAAGCGUGGGUAGCGAACAGGAUUAGAAACCCGUGUAGCCC
RNAcentral lists this ribosomal RNA (445 nucleotides) under uncultured bacterium. Its description in RNAcentral is "partial 16S ribosomal RNA". It matches the Rfam family "Bacterial small subunit ribosomal RNA", at positions 354 to 796 of the family's 1533-position model. The record is from RNAcentral.